CGUGGGUAACCUGCCCAAGAGACUGGGAUAACACCUGGAAACAGAUGCUAAUACCGGAUAACAACACUAGACGCAUGUCUAGNGUUUAAAAGAUGGUUCUGCUAUCACUCUUGGAUGGACCUGCGGUGCAUUAGCUAGUUGGUAAGGUAACGGCUUACCAAGGCAAUGAUGCAUAGCCGAGUUGAGAGACUGAUCGGCCACAUUGGGACUGAGACACGGCCCAAACUCCUACGGGAGGCAGCAG
Molecule: ribosomal RNA, 244 nt
Filed under: uncultured bacterium
Lineage: Bacteria
Description: partial 16S ribosomal RNA
Rfam family: Bacterial small subunit ribosomal RNA
Source: RNAcentral